ACGGCUCAGUAACACGUGGACAACCUGCCCUUAGGUUGGGUAUAAACCCGGGAAACUGGGUAUAAUACCCGAUAGGUCUCGAUUGCUGGAAUGCAUCGAGAUUUAAAGCUCCGGCGCCUAAGGAUGGGUCUGCGGCCUAUCAGGUAGUAGUGGGUGUAGCGUACCUACUAGCCUACGACGGGUACGGGUUGUGAGAGCAAGAGCCCGGAGAUGGAUUCUGAGACACGAAUCCAGGCCCUACGGGGUGCAGCAGGCGCGAAAACUUUACAAUGCUGGCAACAGCGAUAAGGGAACCUCGAGUGCCAGGUUACAAAUCUGGCUGUCGAGAUGCCUAAAAAGCAUUUCAUAGCAAGGGCCGGGCAAGACCGGUGCCAGCCGCCGCGGUAACACCGGCGGCUCGAGUGGUAACCGUUAUUAUUGGGUCUAAAGGGUCUGUAGCCGGCCGGAUAAGUCUCUUGAGAAAUCUGGCAGCUUAACUGUCAGGCUUUCAGGAGAUACUGUCUGGCUCGAGGCCGGGAGAGGUGAGAGGUACUUCAGGGGUAGGGGCGAAAUCUUGUAAUCCUUGAAGGACCACCAGUGGCGAAGGCGUCUCACCAGAACGGACCUGACGGCAAGGGACGAAAGCUAGGGGCACGAACCGGAUUAGAUACCCGGGUAGUCCUAGCCGUAAACGAUACUCGCUAGGUGUCGGCCACGGUGCGACCGUUGUCGGUGCCGUAGGGAAGCCGUGAAGCGAGCCACCUGGGAAGUACGGCCGCAAGGCUGAAACUUAAAGGAAUUGGCGGGGGAGCAC
This 793-nucleotide ribosomal RNA is filed under the name Methanosaeta sp. enrichment culture clone L35A3_41. RNAcentral describes it as "bacterial SSU rRNA". It matches the Rfam family "Archaeal small subunit ribosomal RNA", at positions 85 to 879 of the family's 1478-position model. Lineage: Archaea; Methanobacteriati; Methanobacteriota; Methanomicrobia; Methanotrichales; Methanotrichaceae. The record is from RNAcentral.